This 497-nucleotide ribosomal RNA is filed under the name uncultured bacterium. RNAcentral describes it as "partial 16S ribosomal RNA". It matches the Rfam family "Bacterial small subunit ribosomal RNA", at positions 28 to 507 of the family's 1533-position model. The record is from RNAcentral.
GAUGAACGCUGGCGGCGUGCCUAAUACAUGCAAGUCGAGCGAACGGACGAGAAGCUUGCUUCUCUGAUGUUAGCGGCGGACGGGUGAGUAACACGUGGAUAACCUACCUAUAAGCCCGGGUUAACUUCGGGAAACCGGAGCUAAUACCGGAUGCUAUUUUGAACCGAUUGGUUCAACAGUGAAAGACGGUCUUGCUGUCACCUCUAGCUGUCUCCGCGCUGCAUUAGCUAGUUGGUAAGGUAACGGCUUACCAAGGCGACGAUGCAUAGACGACCUGAGAGGGUGAUCGUCCACACUGGAACUGAGACACGGUCCGAACUCCUGCGGGAGGCAGCAGUUGGGAAUCUUCCGCAAUGGGCGAAAGCCUGACGGAGCAACGCCGCGUAAGUGAUGAAGAUCUUCCGAUCGUAGAUCUCUGUUAUUAGGGAAGAACAUAUGUAUAAGUAACUGUGCACAUCUUGACGGUACCUAAUCAGAAAGCCACGGCUAACUACGUG